Heterocephalus glaber (naked mole-rat) is the source of this 107-nucleotide small nuclear RNA. The record is from Ensembl. Lineage: Eukaryota; Metazoa; Chordata; Mammalia; Rodentia; Bathyergidae.
GUGCUUGCUUCAGCAGCGCAUAUACUAAAAUUGGAAUGAUACGGAGAAGAUUAGCAUGGCCCCUGCGCAAGGAUGACACACAAAUUCGUGAAGCGUUCCAUAUUUUU